This 253-nucleotide ribosomal RNA is filed under the name uncultured bacterium. RNAcentral's name for it is "partial 16S ribosomal RNA". It matches the Rfam family "Bacterial small subunit ribosomal RNA", at positions 524 to 776 of the family's 1533-position model. The record is from RNAcentral.
UACAGAGGGUGCGAGCGUUGUUCGGAAUUAUUGGGCGUAAAGGGCGCGUAGGCGGUGCGGUAAGUCACCUGUGAAAUCUCCUGGCUCAACUGGGAGCUUGCAGGCGAAACUGCCGUGCUGGAGUGUGGGAGAGGUGAGUGGAAUUCCUGGUGUAGCGGUGAAAUGCGUAGAUAUCAGGAGGAACACCUGCGGUGUAGACGGCUUACUGGACGGUAACUGACGCUGAGGCACGAAAGCGUGGGGAGCAAACAGG